AUAAAACAUAUAUAUACAGUGUAAAUGUAUAUAUAAUUAUAUAAUUAUUAUUUAUAUUUAAACCUUAUUGCAUCCAGCAGAGGGCACAAACACCUGCCAGAUCAUCUGGGUACUGAUGGCCUCUUUUGCCACAGAAAGAGGUGUUGCAGUCACUAAAGCAGGGAAUGGCUUUUAGCUUUUCAAACAAUUAAUGGAUUUUUAAUUUCUUUUUUUUUUUUCUUUCUCCUAGUUAACAUAAUAAUUCAUCUGCUUUUGUAAAGGUGGCCUUCUUGAUACUACUUCUGUCACUGGGCCAUGUCUUUCUGCAUGUAGAUUCUAUUAAACAAUGUGUGGCCAUAUAUCUAGAGAUAAUAAGAACUGCCACACUUAUCCAAGCUUACUAAAAUACAACCUAAGGGUGUCUAUUAAAAAGGCACUGGGGAAUUACACAGAAUGCUUUUCCUUUAUUAAUAGGAAAUAUUCAUUCAAUUCCACUGUGCACACAAACCAGCUCCAAUCUUCUAAAAGAGUCAAAUAUAGAAGUAUAUAUCUCAUCUGCAUGUCUAACAGUCAUAACAGGAAGUGUUACUAACAAUGCUGUGGUGUUCUUUGAGCCUAGAAAAUUCCUACAGCACUCAUUUUGUAGUACGUAUUCAGAAAGGUUUAUCUAGCUUUUCAAUGCAUUAGGAGAAAUAUCCUGAAAUACCUGCAGUGUAAGAAUAUGUAAUGGCUCACAAACCUUUGCAUUAGCAAUGUGGUUUUCAGAGGAGGAUGGAACAACUCUCUUUCAAUCUCCGAGCACAUCCAGGUUUUGUCUAUGUGAUCCAGCAUGCAGCUUCUGUUACUUAGCGUACCUUCUAUUUCCUUGCUGAUCAGUGGGAUCUCUUUACACAGAGAAAUGUGUAUAUCUUAGUGCUUGCCUGAAAAAAAUCAUACUGCAGUGUAACUCAAAGUACACUGCGGCACAUUCUCAUCCCUCUGGAGAGGGCAGACUGCAUGCUGAAGCACACAUGAGCUCUGCUGCAAGAAAAACAAUUGAUGAAAAUAAGGAAUGAUGCUUCAUCAACAAUUUGCAACACUUAAAACCAGCAAUCAGAUAUGUUGUGCAUUUGCAUUUCCUGUUGUCUUAAAAGCAUGUUUCAUUCUCUUUAACAGCGAUCUUGAUGUUAAUCUUUGUGUAAUGUGACAGCUAAUUAAAAAAAAAAAACAAAAACCAGCACUGUUUUAGGACAUAUAUCUGAAACAAUGUAAUAAACUGUUCUGUCUUUUUUUAAAGUAGUAUCUAUAACAUGUAUGUUCAUAAAUGGUCGGGGAAUUGUCUAUGUCUUUUAGUAUUGCUUUAUAAAAAUGUCACGCUUGCAGAUACCAUAGCAACCCCUGUCACGUGGUAGUUUUCCAAUUACUGAAGUAGCUUUAUCCCCAUACUCUGCAGCAAUACUUGCAUUAAUAUGUCUGCAAAGCAGUUUAGUAAAUACUGCAUCUUCAUCCAAAAUGGCAAACUAAAUGUGCCAGUGAUGAUCAUGCCUGGGGUAUCAGGCAAAAAGCUAGAAAAAUACUUUCCUCUAAUGACAGGCAUUAUGAAUCUCUGUAUCUUUAUCUUCUUGAUGGCUGUCAUAUGUGACAUUUAGGGGUUCAUGCAGCAUUCCUGCAAAUACUAUUAAUAUAAGUGUAUAGAGAUUUUAACUGUGUAGGGUUGAAAACUGAAUGUGCUUUAUGUGGUGAUGGAUGGGUGAGGAAAUUAAAUGCAGAUCCUUGACAUCCUCUGUCCAAAGCUGCAUAUGCUUUCAAGAAUUGAAACAAUCUGGGGACUGAUGGUCAAAAGCAUUGUGAACAUUACUUCUCUUGCUCUACUUUUUUUCCUGACACAGUGCAACAAUCUUUUACGUUAUUCUUACUUUUGUAUGAAAAUAAAAGAACAAUGAAGUUGGGACUGUUUCUGUUGAAUGGACAGUAACCAAUGUCAGAUGUGGAGAAAAUACAAUAAAAUAUUAACAUGGUUUUUCUACUUGUGUUUUAGGACUAAAGCCUUCAUUUCAAAUUUGAAUUUUACCUCAUAUGAGGACAGCUUCAUGUAUAGGAAAUUUCAAAAGUCUGGGAAUGAGAGGAAAUGCCUUUCAGCCAGAAAAACACAAUAUCAGUUUAUUGCAGCAGAUGGUUCAAACAGUGGAGCUGAAGAGUAAUUGGAUCAGCUGUAGUAAUUAUUUCACAUGUGACAGCACCUGCAAAUGGUGCUGAGUUAUAGCAUCAGGAAGUAGAAUGUACAUAAGCUGAAUGCAAAGAUCCCUUGACGUGUGGAGAAGUUCCUUCUGUCUCUGCCACCCAAAGAAUUACUGGUAAGUACAAC
Molecule: non-coding RNA, 2323 nt
Organism: Meleagris gallopavo (turkey)
Lineage: Eukaryota; Metazoa; Chordata; Aves; Galliformes; Phasianidae
Source: RefSeq, a predicted model, not a curated record